UUCUGCUUCUCCGUCUCCGUCUUCUUCUUCUUCGUCCUCUUCUUUCCUGGUUUCUA
This 56-nucleotide small RNA is filed under the name Arabidopsis thaliana (thale cress). RNAcentral describes it as "ATSL297470". The record is from RNAcentral. Lineage: Eukaryota; Viridiplantae; Streptophyta; Magnoliopsida; Brassicales; Brassicaceae.